Molecule: long non-coding RNA, 691 nt
Organism: Oreochromis aureus
Lineage: Eukaryota; Metazoa; Chordata; Actinopteri; Cichliformes; Cichlidae
Exons: 3
Source: RefSeq, a predicted model, not a curated record
UCUUAGUGUCAGGACGUUCAGAAGGUAGAAACGCAAGGGAACAACGGCAGAAGUGACAAAGACAAAGAAAUGUAGUGAGCAGAAGAUGAAGCCACACACAUGCUGGUGAUGGGAUACAAGCCGUGGAUAACACUAGAUGGCGCAGAUCCAGCGCGGCGCAGUCCACCCCAUCGGGACUGUAUUAGAUCUCUAAUUGAUGCCUCUCCCCUCGUCGCUGACAGUUACGCACAAACCAGGAUCAGGUCGCGGAAUUUAGCACGACCUGAAGAGGUGGCGUAGACCGCCUUCAGAGCCUACAGUGGAUUAAAAACAUAAUGAGAGCAUGGCUGAGAAAGUAAAACACACCAGGGCCAUAGGAAGAAGAAGAAGAGAAGAAAAAGAAGAAAUCUCACACAACUAAUUCUUUUUUUUUAACCAGUUUUGCUUUGUUUUAUUUGAUUAUUUGCUAUAUAAAAACAGUAUUAGUAAACGUAUGAAUUUAUAAAAGCUUGGACUGAAAUAAGUUUGAGGAUGAAAUAUAUAAACAUUACAAGCUGAAUAAUUUUUGGAUGAUCUUUCUUACUGUGCUGCACUUUGACUAAACCGUCCUGUAAGUAUAUUGUUAUGUUCGUGUCAAACAGGAAUUUUAUAUGAAUUAUUUCUCCAGUUCCCAAAAGGUCACAUUUCUCUGUGGUCAAUAAAGGUGUUGACA